RNAcentral lists this unclassified non-coding RNA (253 nucleotides) under Hevea brasiliensis (rubber tree). Lineage: Eukaryota; Viridiplantae; Streptophyta; Magnoliopsida; Malpighiales; Euphorbiaceae. The record is from RNAcentral.
AUGGCUUUGAUUUCUUGUAAGACCUCAGAAGGAGUUGGCCAUCCAUGUAGUUCCUCUUCAUCAUCAGAAAAAGGAUCCAUAGGUUUGAUGGAUCUAAAAGAAGGAACUUUUAAAAACAAAUGCUAAUGGGGCCGGAAGAUAUAACCCUCUUAGUGCAAGCUUUGUGCGGCUAGUUUGUUUUAGGGAGUUCAGAAUAUGAAUACUUGGAGGGAGAGGGGAAGAGGGAUGUGGCUAUAUAUACUUGAAGGGACUG